AAUACGAAACAGAGACGGGUAAUAUAUAGGGCAAUUGUCAAUAAUAGCACAUUUUGAAGUUUACGUCACAAAAAGAGCACUAGAAGGAGAAAGUCACAAAAAUGACAUUCAUUAAAGGGUAAAAUGUCCCUAAUAUCCUUGGUUUAAAUUAAAUAAACAAACAAAAAAAUAAAAAAAAAAUAAAAAAUAAAUAAAAAAAAUAAAAAAAAUAAAAAAAAAUUUUUAUAGUUUCAGAUUAUAUGUUUUCAGAUUCGAAAUUUUUAUAAUUUUUUUUAAAAAAAAAUUUUGAAUUUUUUUUGAAUUUUUUUUUCAAAUUUUCUUUUUAUAGUUUAAAAAUAAUUUUUGAAACUGUUUUAUAAAUUUUUAUUUUUUAUUUUAGUAUUUAUUUUUUAUAAAAUUUUAAACUCUAAUUCCAAAACCCCACCCCUUAACUCUAAACCCUAAGGUUUGGAUUAAUUAACCCAAGCGGUAUAAGUGUAUAUUUACCUCUUUAAUGAAACCUAUUUUUGUGACUUUGAGCCUUGAGUGCUACUUUGGGAACAAAAACUUGGUUUGGUGCUAUCCAAGUCUUUUUCUCUAAUAUAUAUAAGGUGAGUCAAAAAAUUCUAUUCUUCUGGGUUUUAUCUUCUUUUUUUUUUAAUUUUAGAAAAUGAAUAUAAAAAUAAUAAAAAGAUUUAGAAUUAAUAAGAUAAAAUAAGUAAGAGAAGACUCUGAAAUUAAGGGUAAACAGCUAAUCAAAGAUUAUCUCAAAGUUUGACGAUUUUCCUCGUCCACAUCUAAUGAUCCUCACGCGGUUUGUUUUUUUUAUUCCCAGAUCGACUCUUAGAUGUUUCGAUUAGUAGAUUACAAGAAAUAAAAAACCUAAGUAAUGGUUAAGUACAGUUAACGAAUUUCUACAUAGAAAAGUAUAUUAGGCUGCCUAACUUUUUACCCGAUGUUUUUCUCAAAUACUAUGUUCUACUUAUGCCAUAUAUUUUGAUUGACUGUCAUAAUACCAUGCCGUCUAGGAAAAACACAAAGAAAAUAUGUACUAUACUCCAUAAAUACAUGGACUUAUUUGUUUUUUAUAUUUGAUUGAUAUAUAUAUAUAUAUAUUACUUUAAAUCCAUUGGUUUAUAUUUUAUGUCAUAUAAUAUACUUCAAUUGAAAACUAGUUUAGAAAAUUCCACAAAAUUAGAAGAAAAUUUAUAUAUUGAAAGAGGUAACAUUUUCUACUUGUAACUAAGACUAAAAGUUGCUGCUAGUUACAAAAAUAGCUAAGAUCGGUGAACUCUUUGGUCGUAUAUCACAAACAUAUAGUGUACGUUUAUUUUCAAACAAAUAAUUAUAUUAUUUCGUUUAAAAAAUUUACAACAUAUAUUAUAUUUGAAGUCAAAAUUUAAAACAAUUCUUAAAACUAAAAAAAUUGACACUAUUUUAAGAUAAAUAAUAAUCAAGUAGAAUAUUUAGAUAACUACGGCUGCUAAAAGAAUUUGUUUUUAGCGUAAACAUGAUGGAAUUUUAUAGCACUGACUCACUACCAUUUGAUUCGUAUCGAAGGUAGUUGCCUUCAUGUAUUCAUAAUGGUUUCAGCUGGUAAAAGCAUCACUAGUUUUAGACUUUUAGUAUGAAAAGCGAGUUUAAUUGUUUUGAACUUUCUAAUUGCAUGUGGCAUCGUAGACAAAAUAGAAUAUAUAAAUAAAUGUAACUAAUAUAUAUAUAUAUAUAUAUCAAUAAAAUUAUGUAAAAAAUUGUAUAGAGUAAAUAAUUUGACUUGAGACUCUUCAAAUGAUGCUGCUCUUAUGUUUAGGUUCUACUUAAACCCGGUUACAAUAAACACAUCUUUUAUAAUUUUAUUUUACAAUUAUGACUCAUAUUUGAUGUUUCCCUUGUAUCUUUGUAAAAACUAAAAUCUAAUUUUUGUAGAUUGGCUUCGUAAGACCUAGGAUGUUAUACCUAGUUUGAAACUUUGUAAUUAGUACUACUACUUCAAGUAAUUAUAAUUAGACUACAUGAUAAAGAUUCUGCUAAUUAUAUUUUAAUUUCAAAACAUCACGUCAUUAGACUACAUGAUAGAGGAUCCGCUAAUCAAAUGCCAUGUAAAUAUAUGAUUUCCCAUCCUACAGAUGUUGUGAACUAGACACUUGAAGAAAUGAAAACUUAAUGAGCCAAUUAAUUAAUCAAUUAGGAGUCUGGAUAUAGUUGGGAAAAUAAUUAUGCGUAAAUAUAACACUACUAUAAAAAGAUCACAUUACUGAAAAUAAAAUCAAAAACAAAAGUAUCACGUUAUUGGACGGUACUACUACGGUAGUCAUCACGUGUAAAAAAUGUCAAUUACGUGGAAAUGUACCAACUUGGUUAUCCAAUCAGAAAAAAAUAGAAAACGAUAUUAUUAAAUAUAAAUCACGCAACCAAUCUUCUUAUUUUAUUUUUAAUACAUAGUCUUUUUUUUGGAAAUCUGUGUUUCUUUUGUCUUUGCCCCAUGUGGUAACUUUAGCGAUGGCAAGUAUAUUACAGAAUCCGUGCGACUUCUGGGCUUGUCACUGGGCCCACGAAAGGACUUGAAUCACAUACCCAAUCUUUUAAUUUUUAGUACAGUUUUCUUUUUAAAGUUGAGAGAUAGAGCUCAAGCCAAUCGAAAUGAUUCGGUUUAUAUCGAACUUGCAAGUCGGUAGAGUUUUUAACUUUUGAUAAGUUUUGACAAGGUUUUUUAUGGACAAAACCGGAAUGUUGGUAUUGCUAGAUGGCCGGUUAAUGCGGCGGCUGGAUAUGGAUGGGUUUAAAUGGCUGUGGUGGUGGCUGAGGUCAUUAUAGAGAUUUGGGAACUGAAAGCGAAGGUUCUGGGACUGACGGUGUAGCGUUUGAGUUUUGUCACGUGGCAUAAUUCACAUUGUAGUAGAUUUGGGCCUUAUUAAAAGAAUUCUGCAUUCUCUAUUUUGUCUUUCAGCCCAAUUUGGCCCGAUAAUUGAUUUAGUUCUAAUAAUACUUCAAAAUAGGCUUGG
This 2981-nucleotide long non-coding RNA is filed under the name Brassica rapa (field mustard). RNAcentral describes it as "long non-coding RNA (BRAP_LNC001968)". The record is from RNAcentral. Lineage: Eukaryota; Viridiplantae; Streptophyta; Magnoliopsida; Brassicales; Brassicaceae.